This 72-nucleotide transfer RNA is filed under the name Camelus bactrianus (Bactrian camel). It matches the Rfam family "tRNA". Rfam says of the family: Transfer RNA (tRNA) molecules are approximately 80 nucleotides in length. Their secondary structure includes four short double-helical elements and three loops (D, anti-codon, and T loops). RNAcentral also lists the same sequence under 2 other names. The record is from Rfam by way of RNAcentral. Lineage: Eukaryota; Metazoa; Chordata; Mammalia; Artiodactyla; Camelidae.
AGGGAAAUAGCUCAGUGGUAGAGUGUGUGCUUAGCAUGCAAGAAGUCCUGGGUUCAAUCCCCAGUACCUCCA